UACAGAGGGUGCAAGCGUUGUUCGGAAUUAUUGGGCGUAAAGGGUGCGUAGGCGGUGCGGUAAGUCUUCUGUGAAAUCUCCGGGCUCAACUCGGAGUCUGCAGAGGAAACUGCCGUGCUGGAGUAUGGGAGAGGUGAGUGGAAUUCCCGGUGUAGCGGUGAAAUGCGUAGAUAUUGGGAAGAACACCAGUGGCGAAAGCGGACUUCUGGGUUGUUACUGACGCUGAGGUACGAAAGCGUGGGGAGCAAACGGG
RNAcentral lists this ribosomal RNA (253 nucleotides) under uncultured prokaryote. RNAcentral describes it as "partial 16S ribosomal RNA". It matches the Rfam family "Bacterial small subunit ribosomal RNA", at positions 524 to 776 of the family's 1533-position model. The record is from RNAcentral.